CUGCAAGCUCCGCCUUCUGGGUUCAGGCCAUUCUCCUGCCUCAGCCUCCCGAGUAGCUGGGAGUAGAGGCGCCCGCCACCACACCUGGCUAACUUUUUGUAUUUUUAGUGGAGAGGGAGUUUCACCGUUUUAGACAGGAUGGUCUCGAUCUCCUGACCUCCUGAUCCACCCGCCUCUGCCUGCCAAAGUGCUGGGAUUACAGACGUGAGCCACCGCGCCCGGCUGUUUUCUUUUUUUUAACAGUAGGAAAACACAAGCGUGAAGCCUCCAUUUGGGAAGCCUGCAGAAGCCCCAAUCCAAUCACAGCACUGCCAGAGGAUCUUAGAAGUUGAAUAUCAAUUUAAUAACACAUCCUGUUUGAGAUUGGGUUCUAACUAUAUUGCCCAAGCUAGAUUCAAACUCUUGGGCUCAAGUGAUCCUCCUGCCUAAGACUCCUUAGUAGCUUGGAACUUCAGAACCAUCUGUCAAUGGCUACUUCAUACUUUAGAUGCUCCAAGAGGAAAAAGUCAUUUCAGAAUUGUAUCCAUAACCCAGUUUCAUUGAAGAUGGAGUCUUCCUUCAGAUUUUCUACAUAGACAAUUAUACCUCUGUGAACAAAGACAGUUUAUUUCUUCCUUCCCACACCCUGCCACACUUCCUCCUGCUCCAGCAAUGUAAAACGUGCCUGCUUCCCCUUCACCUUCCACGUGACUGCAAGUUACCUGAUGCCUCUUUCGCCAGCUUUCUGUACAGCCUGCAGAACCAUGAGGAAUCACACCCCUUUUCUUUACAAAUUACCCAGUCUCAGACAUUUCUUUAUAGCAAUGCAAGAAUGGACUAAUACAGUAUCUGUGUAAAAUGGAGAUGUUUCCUAAGAAAGAAUAAACUCCUUUUGGUAUAAGUUAUGUGACUACAAGCAUACUUGGAUAUCUUAAUAUUUAAUCUGGGCCAGACAUACCUUGAUGUGGCAAGAAAGUAGCUGGAGAACUGUGUUGGUAGUCCUGGGGCUCUUCCUGCUUCUAUUGUUACCCAA
RNAcentral lists this long non-coding RNA (1012 nucleotides) under Homo sapiens (human). RNAcentral's name for it is "HSALNT0011663". The record is from RNAcentral. Lineage: Eukaryota; Metazoa; Chordata; Mammalia; Primates; Hominidae.